CAAUAAGCGGAGGAAAAGAAACCAACAGGGAUUGCCCUAGUAACGGCGAGUGAAGCGGCAACAGCUCAAAUUUGAAAUCUGGCGUAAGCCCGAGUUGUAAUUUGUAGAGGAUGCUUCUGGGUAGCGGCCGGUCUAAGUUCCUUGGAACAGGACGUCAUAGAGGGUGAGAAUCCCGUAUGUGACUGGCUUGCACCCUCCACGUAGCUCCUUCGACGAGUCGAGUUGUUUGGGAAUGCAGCUCUAAAUGGGAGGUAAAUUUCUUCUAAAGCUAAAUACCGGCCAGAGACCGAUAGCGCACAAGUAGAGUGAUCGAAAGAUGAAAAGCACUUUGGAAAGAGAGUUAAAAAGCACGUGAAAUUGUUGAAAGGGAAGCGCCCGCAACCAGACUUUGCGGCGGUGUUCGGCUGGUCUUCUGACCGGUUUACUCGCCGCCGUGAGGCCAUCAUCGUCUGGGACCGCUGGAUAAGACCUGAGGAAUGUAGCUCCCUUCGGGGUGUGUUAUAGCCUCUGGUGAUGCAGCGCGUCUCGGGCGAGGUCCGCGCUUCGGCAAGGAUGAUGGCGUAAUGGUUGUCGGCGGCCCGUCUUGAAACACGGACCAAGGAGUCUAACAUCUAUGCGAGUGUUCGGGUGUCAAACCCCUACGCGUAAUGAAAGUGAACGGAGGUGGGAACUUUUUGUGCACCAUCGACCGAUCCUGAUGUCCUCGGAUGGAUUUGAGUAAGAGCAUAGCUGUUGGGACCCGAAAGAUGGUGAACUAUGCCUGAAUAGGGUGAAGCCAGAGGAAACUCUGGUGGAGGCUCGCAGCGGUUCUGACGUGCAAAUCGAUCGUCAAAUUUGGGUAUAGGGGCGAAAGACUAAUCGAACCAUCUAGUAGCUGGUUCCUGCCGA
RNAcentral lists this ribosomal RNA (888 nucleotides) under Pseudocercospora oenotherae. RNAcentral describes it as "eukaryotic LSU rRNA". It matches the Rfam family "Eukaryotic large subunit ribosomal RNA", at positions 44 to 964 of the family's 3401-position model. Lineage: Eukaryota; Fungi; Ascomycota; Dothideomycetes; Mycosphaerellales; Mycosphaerellaceae. The record is from RNAcentral.